This is a long non-coding RNA of Bufo bufo (common toad), 145 nucleotides long. RefSeq lists it as uncharacterized. The record is from RefSeq and is a predicted model, not a curated record. NCBI's taxonomy places the organism in Eukaryota, Metazoa, Chordata, Amphibia, Anura, Bufonidae. The transcript has 3 exons.
CACAGAGAGGGCAUAACUACUCUGAGAGGGCACAAUAUGGGCAUAACUACUGUGAGGGGGCACACAUCUGUACAAAACUACUGUUAAGGUUGUACAAUAAGGGCAAUUCUACUGUGAGGGGUCAAAAUUUUUGAAAGUAUUGGGG